AACGAACGCUGGCGGCAGGCCUUACACAUGCAAGUCGAGCGAGGACUCCGGAUCUGGCGGCGGACGGGUGAGGAACGCGUGGGAACGUGCCCUUUGCUUCGGCCUAUCCUUGGGAAACUGCGAGUAAUAUCGGAUGAGACCUGUGGGGUGAAGAUUUAUCGGCGAAGGGUAGGCGCGCAUCGUAUUGGGUAGUGGGCGGGCGAAUGGCCUAUUAAGCCGACGAUCGAUAGCUGGUUAGGGAGGAAGGUCAGCGACUCUGGGACUGAGACACGGUCGGGACUCUUACGUGAGGCAGCAAUGGCGGAUCUUAGCAAGUGGGGUAAGCAAUGAUCUAGCCAGGCCGCGUAAGCGUUGAAGUCCUUAGAGUUGUAAAGCGCUUUAAGCUGGGGAGAUAAUGACGGUACCAGCAGAAGAAGCACCGGCUAACUCCGUG
This 433-nucleotide ribosomal RNA is filed under the name uncultured bacterium. Its description in RNAcentral is "partial 16S ribosomal RNA". It matches the Rfam family "Bacterial small subunit ribosomal RNA", at positions 29 to 507 of the family's 1533-position model. The record is from RNAcentral.